This 360-nucleotide ribosomal RNA is filed under the name uncultured bacterium. Its description in RNAcentral is "partial 16S ribosomal RNA". It matches the Rfam family "Bacterial small subunit ribosomal RNA", at positions 338 to 695 of the family's 1533-position model. The record is from RNAcentral.
CCUACGGGUGGCAGCAGUGAGGAAUAUUGGUCAAUGGACGAGAGUCUGAACCAGCCAAGUAGCGUGAAGGAUGACUGCCCUAUGGGUUGUAAACUUCUUUUAUAUGGGAAUAAAACGUUCUACGUGUGGGAUUUUGUAUGUACCAUAUGAAUAAGGAUCGGCUAACGCCGUGCCAGCAGCCGAGGUAUUACGGAGGUUCCGAGCGUUAUCCGGAUUGAUUGGGUUUAAAGGGAGCGUAGGUGGGUUGUUAAGUCAGUUGUGAAAGUUGGGGGCUCAACCGUAAAAUUGCGGUUGAAAUGGGAAGACUGGAGAGCAGUAGAGGGCGGCGGAACUCGUGGUGUAGCGGUGAAAUGCUUAGAU